This 442-nucleotide ribosomal RNA is filed under the name uncultured bacterium. RNAcentral's name for it is "bacterial SSU rRNA". It matches the Rfam family "Bacterial small subunit ribosomal RNA", at positions 958 to 1397 of the family's 1533-position model. The record is from RNAcentral.
AACGCGAAGAACCUUACCAGCCCUUGACAUCCCUGUCGCGGGAACGAGAGAUCGAUCCCUUCAGUUCGGCUGGACAGGAGACAGGUGCUGCAUGGCUGUCGUCAGCUCGUGUCGUGAGAUGUUGGGUUAAGUCCCGCAACGAGCGCAACCCUCGCCCUUAGUUGCCAUCAUUCAGUUGGGCUCUCUAAGGGGACUGCCGGUGAUAAGCCGCGAGGAAGGUGGGGAUGACGUCAAGUCCUCAUGGCCCUUACGGGCUGGGCUACACACGUGCUACAAUGGCGGUGACAAUGGGACGCAAUGGGGCAACCCUGCGCAAAUCUCAAAAAGCCGUCUCAGUUCGGAUUGCACUCUGCAACUCGAGUGCAUGAAGUUGGAAUCGCUAGUAAUCGUGGAUCAGCACGCCACGGUGAAUACGUUCCCGGGCCUUGUACACACCGGCUAC